Molecule: ribosomal RNA, 799 nt
Filed under: uncultured bacterium
Lineage: Bacteria
Description: bacterial SSU rRNA
Rfam family: Bacterial small subunit ribosomal RNA
Source: RNAcentral
GAUCCUGGCUCAGAGCGAACGCUGGCGGCAGGCUUAACACAUGCAAGUCGAGCGGGCGUAGCAAUACGUCAGCGGCAGACGGGUGAGUAACGCGUGGGAACGUACCUUUUGGUUCGGAACAACCCAGGGAAACUUGGGCUAAUACCGGAUAAGCCCUUACGGGGAAAGAUUUAUCGCCGAAAGAUCGGCCCGCGUCUGAUUAGCUAGUUGGUGAGGUAAUGGCUCACCAAGGCGACGAUCAGUAGCUGGUCUGAGAGGAUGAUCAGCCACAUUGGGACUGAGACACGGCCCAAACUCCUACGGGAGGCAGCAGUGGGGAAUAUUGGACAAUGGGCGCAAGCCUGAUCCAGCCAUGCCGCGUGAGUGAUGAAGGCCCUAGGGUUGUAAAGCUCUUUUGUGCGGGAAGAUAAUGACGGUACCGCAAGAAUAAGCCCCGGCUAAGUUCGUGCCAGCAGCCGCGGUAAUACGAAGGGGGCUAGCGUUGCUCGGAAUCACUGGGCGUAAAGGGUGCGUAGGCGGGUCUUUAAGUCAGGGGUGAAAUCCUGGAGCUCAACUCCAGAACUGCCUUUGAUACUGAAGAUCUUGAGUUCGGGAGAGGUGAGUGGAACUGCUAGUGUAGAGGUGAAAUUCGUAGAUCUUCUCAAGAACACCAGUGGCGAACGCCGCUCAAUGGCCCGAUACUGACGCUGAGGCACGAAACCCUGCGGAGCAAACAGGAUUAGAUACCCUGGUAGUCCACGCGGUAAACCAUCCAUGCCAGCCGUUAUUGUGUUUAAUCACUAGUGGCGCAGCUGACGCU